CCAGACUUGGAACCGGGAGAGGUAAGAGGUACUACAGGGUAGGAAGUGAAAUCUUGUAAUCCCUGUGGGACCACCUGUGGCGAAGGCGUCUUACCAGAACGGGUUCGACGGUGAGGGACGAAGCUGGGGGCACGAACCGGAUUAGAUACCCGGGUAGUCCCAGCCGUAAACGAUGCUCGCUAGGUGUCAGGCAUGGCGCGACCGUGUCUGGUGCCGCAGGGAAGCCGUGAAGCGAGCCACCUGGGAAGUACGGCCGCAAGGCUGAAACUUAAAGGAAUUGGCGGGGGAGCACAACAACGGGUGGAGCCCUGCGGUUUAAUUGGACUCAACGCCGGACAACUCACCGGGGGCGACAGCAAUAUGUAGGCCAAGCUGAAGACUUUGCCUGAAUCGCUGAGUAGUGGUGCAUGG
This 411-nucleotide ribosomal RNA is filed under the name uncultured archaeon. RNAcentral's name for it is "bacterial SSU rRNA". It matches the Rfam family "Archaeal small subunit ribosomal RNA", at positions 587 to 997 of the family's 1478-position model. The record is from RNAcentral.